RNAcentral lists this ribosomal RNA (495 nucleotides) under uncultured bacterium. Its description in RNAcentral is "partial 16S ribosomal RNA". It matches the Rfam family "Bacterial small subunit ribosomal RNA", at positions 28 to 507 of the family's 1533-position model. The record is from RNAcentral.
GACGAACGCUGGCGGCGUGCCUAAUACAUGCAAGUAGAACGCUGAAGGAGGAGCUUGCUUCUCCGGAUGAGUUGCGAACGGGUGAGUAACGCGUAGGUAACCUGCCUGGUAGCGGGGGAUAACUAUUGGAAACGAUAGCUAAUACCGCAUAAGAGUAGAUGUCGCAUGACAUUUGCUUAAAAGGUGCAACUGCACCACUACCAGAUGGACCUGCGUUGUAUUAGCUAGUUGGUGAGGUAACGGCUCACCAAGGCAACGAUACAUAGCCGACCUGAGAGGGUGAUCGGCCACACUGGGACGGAGACACGGCCCAGACGCCUACGGGAGGCAGCAGUAGGGAAUCUUCGGCAAGGGACGGAAGUCUGACCGAGCAACGCCGCGGGAGUGAAGAAGGGUGUCGGAUCGUAAAGCUCGGUUGUAAGAGAAGAACGAGUGUGAGAGUGGAAAGUUCACACUGUGACGGUAGCUGACCAGAAAGGGACGGCUAACUACGUG